Molecule: long non-coding RNA, 7693 nt
Filed under: Capsella rubella
Lineage: Eukaryota; Viridiplantae; Streptophyta; Magnoliopsida; Brassicales; Brassicaceae
Description: long non-coding RNA (CRUB_LNC004464)
Source: RNAcentral
AUCAUCAUGGCUAAGUUUGCUUCCAUCAUCACCCUUAUCUUCGCUGCUCUUGUGCUCUUUGCUGCUUUUGGUGAGUAAUUAAUCAUCUUAUCAUAUCAAUGAAAAAUGUGUUUUUAGAUGAUAUUUUCAUAUAUUUCGAUAACUAACCAUGAGAAAUAAAUACAUGCAUCUGUAGAAGCACCGGCAAUGGUGGAAGCACAGAAGUUGUGCGAGAGGUCAAGUGGGACUUGGUCCGGAGUCUGCGGAAACAACAACGCUUGCAAGAAUCAGUGCAUUAACCUUGAGGGAGCAAAACAUGGAUCUUGCAAUUAUCGAUUCCCAUACCACAGAUGUAUCUGUUACUUCCCAUGUUAAUCAUAUCAACCAAAAAGUCCGUGGUGCUUAAACGUGUGUAUUUUACAUAUAUAAAAUAAGUCUGUGUCACUUAAGAGUGACUUGAUGACAUAUACAUGUGUUUAUGUUUUAAUGUUUGGUUUGGUUUGACUUUGUUGUUAUAAUGAUAUAAAUAUAAUUUAUGUACGACUGUUUCUUUCUUGUUAAUAUUUGUCUACAACAACCAACAGAACGACUGAUUUUUUUUAUUUUUCAAAAACAUAAAGAAUAAAAGUACACACGACCAUUAAUAUGACCGAAUUAGAAUAUGUCAAAAAAAGAAAGAAAUCACCAUUAGAUGAGACAACCAAAUUGAUGCAUGGUGGAGUAAUGAAAUGAUAAUUAAUUGAGAUCGUUGAAUGACGGUAAAAGAAGUUCCAAUAUUUUUUCCUUAAAACAAUAACUAAUAGCAAUAAUGAAUGGAAAAAAUACAUGUUUGGGGUGAAACAGGAACAAAUAAUCAAACACAAUAUAUAGCAUUUUGCUUAUGUACCCUAUUCAAUUUAAAAUUUAAAAUCAUGGAUUUUAAAAACUAAAUCCAAAACUCUAAAAAUUAUAUCUAACCCAAACAAAAAAAGGUUCUAAACCCUGCAAUGUAUGCAUUUCCUGAAUUUAAAAGAUUAGACUAUAUUUUUAAAAUUUUAAAAAUCUUGAUCUCUUAUCAUCUUUCGGUAAUUUAUUUAUGAUUACCAUUACGACGAGCAAUUAAAGGUGGUUUAGGUAUUUGAUUCCCGUUUCGCUUUUUCAGUACGUACGUAUAUUCCCAUGCAUUACGUUCAAGGCCAUGACUAAAUAAAGAAUAUUUUGUUUUGUUUAUCCAUACCCGACUAAGCUAAUUUCCCAGACCCUGCCUUCUCCGACGCCGAUCGUCUCCUUCUGUUAGUAGAGAACCAUUGGAGAAUCAUCUAGUUUACGGGUUAUAUGUGUUUCCAGGUGAAUUCUAAUGGCAAAAAUCUGGUGAGAACGGUUUCUUGUUCUGCAAGCUUGGCGUAAUGAUGCUGCCCUUGAGAUCAGCCUUUUACCAUAUCAAUAGACAGUUACCCUAACUGUGAAAAUAUCUGACUUAUCAAAAUACUCGUGUAACUACGGCUCGGUUAAGAUCUUAUUUUCUUGAGCACAUCAGAUUAGCAGCCGCCUAUGUAGAUGAUGUAUCAUAUAUAUUAGCUCAAAGCCAAAACAGCCACUUAGAUAUUAUCAGAGAAAUAUAUGUGGUGGAGAAACCAGCCUUCAACUAUGAAUAAGUCAAGAUCUUAUCAGUUAGUCAGCUACUAGCAGACACUUAGUGAUUAAUUUGUGGGGUUACGAUCCGUGAUUAUAAGAUGCACAAAUAGAAGACUAAUCCACCUUCACUUCCCUAUAAAUAGAGGCUGUUCUAAACUUUAUUUCUACACACAACACAAUACAUACAUACAUCGAAAACAAAGUAGUACCAAUCAUCAUGGCUAAGUUUGCUUCCAUCAUCACCCUUGUUUUCGCUGCUCUUGUUCUCUUUGCUGCUUUUGGUGAGUAAUCAUCUUAUCAUAUAUGAAAUAGUGUUAUAAAUCUUGUUUCAUUUAUUUUGAUAGUUAACCAUGAGAUAUGUAUACAUAUGCAGAAGCACCAUCGAUGGUGGAAGCACAGAAGUUGUGCGAGAGGUCAAGUGGGACAUGGUCCGGAGUUUGUGGAAACAAUAACGCAUGCAAGAAUCAGUGCAUUAACCUUGAGGGAGCAAAACAUGGAUCUUGCAACUAUCGAUUCCCAUACCACAGAUGUAUCUGUUACUUCCCAUGUUAAUCAACCAAACAUCUUUGGUGGUUAAUCACGUGUGUAUUUUACAUAAAAUAAGUCUGUGUUACUCUAUGAGUAACUUUAUGACAUGCAUGUUUAUGUUUUAAUGUUUGGUUGGACUUUGUUGUUAUAAUUCAUGUACCACCUAAGACUGCAUGCAGUUUCUUGUUUGGUUGGACUUUGUUGUUAUAAUUUAUGUACGACCUUUUUAAGACUAUAUUUUCUUGUUCGUAUUUGUCAGCAGCAGCCGUCACCCAACAGGACCACUCAUUUUUAUGUAUCGAAAUCGAAGUCAUAAAACUAAAGAACAUAAAGAAAAAAAAAGACACACGACCGUUAAAGACCGAAUAAGAAUAUGUCAAAAGAAAAAAAAAAUCAUCAUUCAUAGAAAAAAAUUUAUAUUCUAGGACGUUCACGUUAUAUCACCAUAGCCACGUCAAAACCCCAAUUUAAUAGUUUGAUCAGACAAUUAAUAGAGAGGGUUUUAUGACGGUACGUGGCAAGAGUUAGACAUCCAUUAUUUUUUGGAUUAAUAAGAAUUAUAGUACAUUUUCAAAAAAUAAUUGGGAAAAUAGUACAUAUAUUAUUUAUAAUUAUAAAAAUAGUCAUAUGGACCCACAAUAUGAGAUAGAAGAAAACAUGAGAUAGGAAAAACGAGAGAAAAUAAAAUGACAUGAGGGGCAAUUUUUUUUCUCUGGAUUUUGUUUUUUUUUUUCUUUUUUUUUUCUUUUUUUCUCUUACUUUUAUCACCCCAAAAUUUUUAUAACUAACAUACUAAUUUUUGUAAAAAUAAUAUCAAUAAUAUUUUUAACACAUAAAAAUGUUUUUUUCUCUAUAAUUUGAUAUGCCUUUUGCUAAUAAAUUUUAAAUUUUUUUAUAUAUAAAUAUUUAUUUGUAUAGUUUAGCAUAUGUACAAAUGUUUUUUUUACAAUAGUAUGUGUACAGACGUAUGUACAAAAAUAUCCAUACAUAAAUAUGUACAAACAUAUCCGUACAACUUAUUAAGUGUACGAAUAUAUGUAAAAAUUACUCAUUUUUAUCCGUACAGCUAGUAUAGUAUACCAAAAUAUGCAUAUUUAUAUAUAUUUGUACACUAAUAUGCUGUACGGAUGAUAUUGUGUAAUAAUAUUAUUAUUGUACAAAAACAUAAUUUUGUACGUAUGUACAAUAAAUAUGAUGUACGAAUUAUAUUAUAUAAUUAUUUUAAUGGCAGACUCGUAAAUACUAUGUUUUCUGAGUGUUUAAAUGUCCAUAAAAUAGUAGCAAAUAGUGAUAAUGUACUAGUUUCCUAAUUGUAAAUAGUGUUUGUACUAGUUUUAUAAUUAUUUUUUAAAAAUGUAAUACUUCUCCAACACACCCUUAUUUUUUUAAAAUUAUAUUUUAUUGUAGUUUCUAAUAUUGGGUAGAGAUUUUCAUAGUCUCUCAGUUAUAUUAUUUUAAUAGAUAUAUAAUUUACUUUUUACUAUUUAUUUAAAUUUUAAAUAACAAGAAAAGAUUAAAACCGAUCACAUGAUCUCUCGAAAAGUCUCAUUUGAGAAGUGGUUCUCAUAUCUCUUUUCAAUUUUUUGUUUUAUAUUGUUAAAAAAAAUGGGUGAAGCAAUUAAGAACAUAUAAACAAAAUUAUACUCAGACUCAAACGGAGGUGUCUAAAUUGCUAUAGAGAAUACUGGACGAGCUUUUACAUACAGCAGCCAUAUAUCGUUCUUUUACUUACUUCUUUUAUUUUUUGGUAUUCAUAUUUGUUUGUAUUUGGACUAACUUGUGCAUAUCAAACUAACGUAACGCACAAUAUAUAGCAUUUUGCUUAGGUACCCUGAAUUCAAAACUAAAAACAUGAAUCCUAAACUCUAAGAAAGUUACAUCUAAUCUAAAAAAGAGUUCUAAAUACAACAAAAAGAUGUAUUUUCUGAAUUUUAAAAAAUGGAUCGCUUAUAAUAUUUCCGUAAUUCCUUUGUGCUUUUAUUUUCCUUUGUAACGAAUUUACAGAUUAUACCUUAAGCUCUAUAUCCUCUAAUUUUUGAUGAAAUUCACCGUUAUGAUGAUAGUUAGAAAAUCUACCGCCGAUGAGAGCAACGCACUGAUGAAUCACAUAAUUUACGGUUAAAGGUGUCUCCCGGUGAAAUCUAAUGGCAAAAAAACUAAUAAGAACGGUUUCUUUGUUCUGCAAAUUAACUUGGCGGAACGAUGCUACGUACUCUUGAGAUCAACCAAACAAUAUGUUGAUACAUAUACACUUGCCUAACUGUCAAAAUAUCUGACAUGACAUAUAUCAAAGUACUCUUGUAACUACCGCUUGGUUAACAUCUUAUUUUCUUGAGUCUUGACCACAUCAGAUUAUGCCGCCUAUGUAUAAAUCAUUUGCUCAAAGCCAAAGCAGCCUACUUAGAUAUUAUCAGAAAAAAUAUGUGGUGGAGAAUAACCAGCAGCCAUCAACUAUGAAUAAGUCAAGUUCUUAUCUGUUAAUAUUAGCACUAGAAGACGCUUAGUGUUUAAUUUGUGGGGUUACGAUCUGUAGUUAUAGGAUGCACACAUAUACGACUAACUCACCAUCAUUUCAUUAUAAAUAGACUCUGAUCUUAAGCUUAAUUAGUUCAUCACACAACACAUCAAUACAUACAUACAUUGAAAACAACACAGUUUAAUAAUCAUCAUGGCUAAGUUUGCUUCCAUCAUCCCCCUUAUCUUCGCUGCUCUUGUUCUCUUUGCUGCUUUUGGUGAGUAAUCAUCUUUUUUUUUUAAUGGAAUUAUGGAAAUAAUGUUUUAAAUGUUAUUUUGAUAACUAACCAUGAGAAAUAUAUACACGUAUAUGCAGAAGCACCAUCGAUGGUGGAAGCACAGAAGUUGUGCGAGAGGUCAAGUGGGACUUGGUCCGGAGUCUGUGGAAACAAUAACGCAUGCAAGAAUCAGUGCAUUAACCUUGAGGGAGCAAAACAUGGAUCUUGCAACUAUCGAUUCCCAUACCACAGAUGUAUCUGUUACUUCCCAUGUUAAUCAACCAAAAAUCUUUGGUGGCUAAACGUGUGUGUAUUUUACAUAAAAUAAGUCUGUGUUACUCUCUAUGAGUAACUUUAUGACAUGCAUGUUUAUGUUUUAAUGUUUGGUUGGACUUUGUUGUUACAAUUUAUGUACGACGUUAUAAUUAAGACUCUGUUUCUUCUUGUUCGUAUUAGACCAGUAUUAAUUUGAUUACAGCAGCUGACACCCAACAGGACCACUAAUUUUCAUGUAUCGAAAACAUAAAGAACAGAAUUUUAAAAAAAAAACACACGACCGACCGUUACCUGACCGAAUUAGGAUGUGUCAAGAAAAAAAGAAAUUCCCAUUGAUAAAACAAAAUAAAACUUCUAUUCUAGGACGUUCACUUUAUUUCACUAUAGCCAAGUGAAAACCCCAAUUUAAUAGUUUAAUCAGACUACCAAAUUCAUGAAUUGUCGAGUAGUGAAAUGUUAAUUAAUUGAGAUUGUUGAUUUUUAUUUUAUUUUUUUGUCGUACGUAGUUUCUGAUAUUGUAUAGUAAACAAUAAUAGCAAUAAUGAAUAGAAGAAAAAAAUGAUUGGGGGUGUUACAAAUAAGAACAUCUGAAUAUAUAAACAAAAUUAUACUCUUAAGCGGAGGUGUCGGUAACGCUAUAGAAAACGGGACGAGCUUUUCCUUUUACUUCCUUCUUUUACUACGUACUGCUGUUUUUACGUAUUCAAUUUUUUUGUUUUUUUGUCUGUAUUUGGACUAACUUGUUCAUCAAAAUAACGCACAAUAUAUAUAUAGCAUCUUGCUUACGUACCUUGAAUUCAAAAUUAAAAACAUGAACCUUAAACUCUCUAAAUGUAAUCUAAUCUAAGAAUAGUUCGAAACCAUACAAAAAAAAAUACGAUUUUCCUCAAUUUAAAAGAAUUCAAUCAUUAUUUUUAGUUCAAAAACAAAAUUUGAUCGCUUAUAUAAUCUAAUUUCGUAAUUACUUUAUAAACUUUUUUCUUAGUUAGUUGGUAUUUUCAGUUAUUUUGCCAAUUUCUUUGUUAACGAAUUUACGAAUCAUACCUUAAGCUCUAUAUUCACCAAUUUUGUAUGAAAUUCACCGUUACCUUCUUCUGAUAGUUAGAAAAACUACCGCCGGCGAGAGCAGCGUAAUGGAUCACAUAAUUUACGGUUAAAGGUGUUUCCUGGUGUGUUUUAACUUGCGAAAAAUCUAGCGAGAAGAGUUUCUUUUGUUCUGCAAACUUGGCAAAACGAUGUUACUCUAGAGAUCAACCAAAACAUAUCUUGAUAUACACUUUUGGUUCAAAGGAGCAGUUCCAAAACAUGCAUUUAUGAUAUGGUUUACACAUCUAAUUAUCGGCUUCCCACUAAAACAAGGCUCAAAAGUCUGGGACUGCAAAUUGAGCAAACUAGUUGCUGCCUUUGUGGUUUGUUCCCUGAAACUUGAGAGUUGAGACCAUAUGUUCCCUUCAUUGUGAAGUUAGCGAUGGCCUCUUGUCAAAACCACCAACAAAGAUUUGGAUACAACUCGUUUAUUUUCCACACUUGGAGUGCGUUCUCAGCUUGGUUAGACUUUAAAGACUCAACAUCACCUCUUUUUUUUUUGGCAGGAAACAAUUAAUCUUUUGUAACUUUUACAAACUUUUUCAUCUAAUGAAAAUUCACAUUUCUGUUAAAGGAAAAAAAAAAACUGUGAAAAUAUCUGACACAUCAAAAUAAUCGUGUAAAUUAACUACCGCUUGGUUAUAUUACGAUCUUAUUUUCUUGAGUCUUGACCACAUCAGAUUAAGCAGCCGCCUAUGUAAACGAUGUAUGAUUAGCUCAAAACCAAAGCAGCCACCAAGAUAUUAUUAUUAGAGAAAAAUAUGUGGUGGAGAAUAACCAGCCAUCAACUAUGAAAAAGUCAAGUUUUUAUCAUGCUAAUACCAAUCAGCUGCUAGAAGACACUUAGUGUUUAAUUUGUGGGGUUACGAAACGUGAUUAUACGAUGCCCAAAUAGAUCGACUAAUUAACUCACCAUCGUUUCACUAUAAAUAGAAGUUGAUCUUUAGCUUAUUUCAUCACACAACACAUACAUACACAUACAUUGAAAACAAGAUAGUAAAAAUCAACAUGGCUAAGUUUGCUUCCAUUAUCACCCUUCUCUUCGCUGCUCUUGUUCUCUUUGCUGCUUUUGGUGAGUAAUCAUCUUAUCAUAUCAAUGAAAAUGUGUGUUUAAAUGUUAUUUUCAUUUAUUUGGAUAACUAACCAUGAGAAAUAUAUGCAUGCAUGAUGCAUCUGUAGAAGCACCGGCAAUGGUAAACGCACAGAAGUUGUGCGAGAGGUCAAGUGGGACUUGGUCCGGAGUCUGCGGAAACAACAACGCUUGCAAGAAUCAGUGCAUUAACCUUGAGGGAGCAAAACAUGGAUCUUGCAAUUAUCGAUUCCCAUACCACAGAUGUAUCUGUUACUUCCCAUGUUAAUCAACCAAACAUCUUCGGUGGUUAAACGUGUGUGCAUUUUACAUAAAAUAAGUCUACGUCACUUUACGAGUGACUCUUAUGAGUAUGACAUGCAUCUUUCUGUUUUAAUGUUCGGUGGUG